UGAGUACGAGAUGCUACGGCAUCGAAGCAGUCUAUGUCAUACUUCCAAGAAAAGCUUGCACUGUCAUAAACAAAGAAUGCCUGUACCAUAACCGACACAGGUGGGUAGGUAGAGUAUACUAAGGGGCGCGAGAUAACUCUCUCUAAGGAACUCGGCAAAAUGACUCCGUAACUUCGGGAGAAGGAGUGCCUUAUUUCUAAGGUUGCAAUAACAAGAUCCAAGCAACUGUUUACCAAAAACACAGGUCUCCGCUAAGUCGUAAGACGAUGUAUGGGGGCUGACGCCUGCCCAGUGCCAGAAGGUUAAAGAAGUUGGUUAGCAUUAGCGAAGCUGAUAACUGAAGCCCUGGUGAACGGCGGCCGUAACUAUAACGGUCCUAAGGUAGCGAAAUUCCUUGUCGGGUAAGUUCCGACCCGCACGAAAGGCGUAAUGAUUUGGAUACUGUCUCGGAGAGGGGCUCGGUGAAAUAGACUUGUCUGUGAAGAUGCGGACUACCUGCACCUGGACAGAAAGACCCUAUGAAGCUUUACUGUAACUUGAGAUUGAAAUUGGACUUUAUUUGCGCAGUAUAGGUGGGAGGCGUUGAGAAUAAUCUUGCGGGAUUGUUGGAGCCAUCAGUGAGAUACCACUCUUGUAAUGUUAGAUUUCUAACUUUGUAUCAUUAUCUGGUCAAAGAACAGUUUCAGGCGGGCAGUUUGACUGGGGCGGUCGCCUCCCAAAGGGUAACGGAGGCGCACAAAGGUUUCCUCUGAACGGGUAGAAAUCGUAUCUAGAGUGUAAAGGCAUAAGGAAGCUUGACUGUGAGACCUACAAGUCGAGCAGGGACGAAAGUCGGUCUUAGUGAUCUGACGGUGCUGAGUGGAAAGGCCGUCACUCAACGGAUAAAAGUUACUCUAGGAUAACAGGCUGAUCUCCCCCAAGAGUUCACAUCGACGGGGAGGUUUGGCACCUCGAUGUCGGCUCAUCGCAUCCUGGGGCGGUAGUCCGUCCCAAGGGUUGGGCUGUUCGCCCAUGAAAGCGGUACGCGAGCUGGGUUCAGAACGUCGUGAGACAGUUCGGUCCAUAUCCGGUGUAGGCGUUAGAAUACUGAGAGGAGCCUUCUCUAGUACGAGAGGACCGAGAAGGACAUACCUCUGGUGUACCAGUUAUCGUGCCAACGGUAAACGCUGGGUAGCUAUGUAUGGAGUGGAUAACCGCUGAAAGCAUCUAAGUGGGAAGCCCACCUCAAGAUAAGUAUUCUCAU
RNAcentral lists this ribosomal RNA (1243 nucleotides) under metagenome. Its description in RNAcentral is "bacterial LSU rRNA". It matches the Rfam family "Bacterial large subunit ribosomal RNA", at positions 1564 to 2817 of the family's 2925-position model. The record is from RNAcentral.